UACGAAGGGUGCAAACGUUGCUCGGAAUCAUUGGGCGUAAAGGGCUCGUAGGCGGCGUGUCGCGUCGGGAGUGAAAGACCGGGGCUUAACCCCGGUUCUGCUUCCGGUACGGGCAUGCUGGAGUGUGGCAGGGGAGACUGGAAUUCCUGGUGUAGCGGUGGAAUGCGCAGAUAUCAGGAGGAACACCGGUGGCGAAGGCGGGUCUCUGGGCCAUUACUGACGCUGAGGAGCGAAAGCGUGGGGAGCGAACAGG
Molecule: ribosomal RNA, 253 nt
Filed under: uncultured bacterium
Lineage: Bacteria
Description: partial 16S ribosomal RNA
Rfam family: Bacterial small subunit ribosomal RNA
Source: RNAcentral